UGUAAGCGUAUACCAAAGUUGUUGCAGUUAAAACGCUCGUAGUCGGACUUUGGCAGUUCCGGAUGUGUGCACGUCGUGUGCGCACUUCGCGGGGAUUGCUUUUGUGGUCUUGCGUAGGAUGAGGCACUUUUAUUAGUGAACGUCCUCACGCAACCACUUUUUACUGUGAGAAAAUCAGAGUGCUCAAAGCAGGCAUUUGCCGUGAAUGUAUUAGCAUGGAAUAAUAGAAUAGGACUUGGUUCUAUUUUGUUGGUUUGUUGGGACUGAGUAAUGAUUAAGAGGGACAGUUGGGGGCAUUUGUAUUUCGGUGCUAGAGGUGAAAUUCUUAGAUUACCGAAAGACAAACUGCUGCGAAAGCGUCUGCCAAGGAUGUUUUCAUUAA
RNAcentral lists this ribosomal RNA (382 nucleotides) under uncultured eukaryote. Its description in RNAcentral is "partial 18S ribosomal RNA". It matches the Rfam family "Eukaryotic small subunit ribosomal RNA", at positions 592 to 976 of the family's 1831-position model. The record is from RNAcentral.